GCCUUGGUGGUGGAACUGGUAGACGCAGCGGACUCAAAAUCCGCCGCCGAAAGGCGUGCCGGUUCGAUUCCGGCCCGAGGCACCA
RNAcentral lists this transfer RNA (85 nucleotides) under Zoogloea ramigera. RNAcentral describes it as "tRNA-Leu". It matches the Rfam family "tRNA". From Rfam's summary of the family: Transfer RNA (tRNA) molecules are approximately 80 nucleotides in length. Their secondary structure includes four short double-helical elements and three loops (D, anti-codon, and T loops). RNAcentral also lists the same sequence under 3 other names. The record is from RNAcentral. Lineage: Bacteria; Pseudomonadati; Pseudomonadota; Betaproteobacteria; Rhodocyclales; Zoogloeaceae.